Molecule: transfer RNA, 90 nt
Filed under: Nitrospinota bacterium
Lineage: Bacteria; Pseudomonadati; Nitrospinota
Description: tRNA-Ser
Rfam family: tRNA
About the family: Transfer RNA (tRNA) molecules are approximately 80 nucleotides in length. Their secondary structure includes four short double-helical elements and three loops (D, anti-codon, and T loops). Further hydrogen bonds mediate the characteristic L-shaped molecular structure. tRNAs have two regions of fundamental functional importance: the anti-codon, which is responsible for specific mRNA codon recognition, and the 3' end, to which the tRNAs corresponding amino acid is attached (by aminoacyl-tRNA synthetases). tRNAs cope with the degeneracy of the genetic code in two manners: having more than one tRNA (with a specific anti-codon) for a particular amino acid; and 'wobble' base-pairing, i.e. permitting non-standard base-pairing at the 3rd anti-codon position.
Source: RNAcentral
GGAGAGGUGUCCGAGUGGUUGAAGGAGCCGGUCUCGAAAACCGGUGUGCGGGAAACCGUACCGUGGGUUCAAAUCCCACCCUCUCCGCCA